GACGAACGCUGGCGGCGUGCUUAACACAUGCAAGUCGUACGGUAAGGCCCUUUCGGGGGUACACGAGUGGCGAACGGGUGAGUAACACGUGAGUAACCUGCCCACAACUUUGGGAUAACGCUAGGAAACUGGUGCUAAUACUGGAUAUGUGCUCCUGCUGCAUGGUGGGGGUUGGAAAGCUCCGGCGGUUGUGGAUGGACUCGCGGCCUAUCAGCUUGUUGGUGGGGUAGUGGCCUACCAAGGCGGCGACGGGUAGCCGGCCUGAGAGGGUGACCGGCCACACUGGGACUGAGAUACGGCCCAGACUCCUACGGGAGGCAGCAGUGGGGAAUAUUGCACAAUGGGCGCCAGCCUGAUGCAGCAACGCCGCGUGCGGGAUGACGGCCUUCGGGUUGUAAACCGCUUUCAGCAGGGACGAAGCUUUUUGUGACGGUACCUGCAGAAGAAGCACCGGCUAACUACGUG
Molecule: ribosomal RNA, 465 nt
Filed under: uncultured bacterium
Lineage: Bacteria
Description: partial 16S ribosomal RNA
Rfam family: Bacterial small subunit ribosomal RNA
Source: RNAcentral